GCACCCAUAGCUCAAUGGUAGAGCAACUGACUCUUAAUCAGUGGGUUCAAGGUUCAAGUCCUUGUGGGUGCA
Molecule: transfer RNA, 72 nt
Filed under: Candidatus Zhuqueibacterota bacterium
Lineage: Bacteria; Pseudomonadati
Description: candidate division KSB1 bacterium tRNA-Lys
Rfam family: tRNA
About the family: Transfer RNA (tRNA) molecules are approximately 80 nucleotides in length. Their secondary structure includes four short double-helical elements and three loops (D, anti-codon, and T loops).
Source: RNAcentral